Molecule: ribosomal RNA, 301 nt
Filed under: uncultured bacterium
Lineage: Bacteria
Description: partial 16S ribosomal RNA
Rfam family: Bacterial small subunit ribosomal RNA
Source: RNAcentral
CAGCAGCCACGGGAAUACGUAGGGUGCAAGCGUUAAUCGGAAUUACUGGGCGUAAAGCGUGCGCAGGCGGUUUGUUAAGACAGAUGUGAAAUCCCCGGGCUCAACCUGGGAACUGCAUUUGUGACUGGCAAGCUAGGGUGUGGCAGAGGGGGGUGGAAUUCCGCGUGUAGCAGUGAAAUGCGUAGAGAUCGGGAGGAACAUCAGUGGCGAAGGCGGCCAUCUGGGACAACACUGACGCUGAGGCACGAAAGCGUGGGGAGCAAACAGGAUUAGAUACCCCAGUAGUCCCUGUCUCUUAUAC